UACGUAGGGUGCGAGCGUUGUCCGGAAUUAUUGGGCGUAAAGAGCUCGUAGGCGGCCUGUCGCGUCGGAUGUGAAAACUCGGGGCUUAACCCCGAGCCUGCAUUCGAUACGGGCAGGCUAGAGUUCGGCAGGGGAGACUGGAAUUCCUGGUGUAGCGGUGAAAUGCGCAGAUAUCAGGAGGAACCCCGGUGGCGAAGGCGGGUCUCUGGGCCGAUACUGACGCUGAGGAGCGAAAGCGUGGGAGCGAACAGG
This 252-nucleotide ribosomal RNA is filed under the name uncultured bacterium. RNAcentral's name for it is "partial 16S ribosomal RNA". It matches the Rfam family "Bacterial small subunit ribosomal RNA", at positions 524 to 776 of the family's 1533-position model. The record is from RNAcentral.